UUUGUCCCUGCGCAUAGUGUUCGUAAGUAUCAGCUCAUUCAGUAUAUCAGUUGCGAAUAUUAGAGUUAAAUUUCCAAUUUGAGAACAUUUCUAGUCAAUCUAGAUGUUGUAAAAUUGAUGGUGAAGCGGCUGGGUAUUUUACAUACAUGACUGGAACAUAUACAUGGUACACACAUACAUGCAUGCAAGCAUAAGUGGUGGGCAUUCUGAUAACCAAACCGAAGCAAACCAAAUUUAUAUAACCAAAAUAACUGAAUUUCAUAUAUUCAUUUUAUUAUUAUUAUUUAUAAUCAAAUAUUGCUCGCCCCUAGACAUGCACCUACCAAAUUGUGAUUGUUUGAAAUCCUCUGUAGGGGGUAAUGAUUGCUUGAUGUUCUUAUCAAUUACUCUGAUUUUCCUUUACUUUUGCAAAAGAAAUUAAUGCAUAACCAUUUUCAUAAUCAUAAUUUAUCUGCAACUUCUUUCAUUAUCUACGAUUUAUUUUGCAGGAAUAUUCUGUCUGGACAACACGCU
RNAcentral lists this unclassified non-coding RNA (513 nucleotides) under Hevea brasiliensis (rubber tree). Lineage: Eukaryota; Viridiplantae; Streptophyta; Magnoliopsida; Malpighiales; Euphorbiaceae. The record is from RNAcentral.